This 497-nucleotide ribosomal RNA is filed under the name uncultured bacterium. RNAcentral describes it as "partial 16S ribosomal RNA". It matches the Rfam family "Bacterial small subunit ribosomal RNA", at positions 28 to 507 of the family's 1533-position model. The record is from RNAcentral.
GAUGAACGCUGGCGGCGUGCCUAAUACAUGCAAGUCGAGCGAACGGACGAGAAGCUUGCUUCUCUGAUGUUAGCGGCGGACGGGUGAGUAACACGUGGAUAACCUCCCUAUAAGACUGGGAUAACUUCGGGAAACCGUAGCUAAUACCGGAUAAUAUUUUGAACCGCAUGGUUCAAAAGUGAAAGACGGUCUUGCUGUCACUUAUAGAUGGAUCCGCGCUGCAUUAGCUAGUUGGUAAGGUAACGGCUUACCAAGGCAACGAUGCAUAGCCGACCUGAGAGGGUGAUCGGCCACACUGGAACUGAGACACGGUCCAGACUCCUACGGGAGGCAGCAGUAGGGAAUCUUACGCAAUGGGCGAAAGCCUGACGGAGCAACGCCGCGUGAGUGAUGAAGGUCUUCGGAUCGUAAAACUCUGUUAUUAGGGAAGAACAUAUGUGUAAGUAACUGUGCACAUCUUGACGGUACCUAAUCAGAAAGCCACGGCUAACUACGUG